GCACCACUAUAAAAGGAGGCGUCGAUAGAUCAACCUGCGGCACUCCUGCGACAACAGCAAUCUUCAGGUUGCAAGAAAGCACCAGCCAUGGCGAUCCGGGGCGUGGCCUCCUCCCGCGAGGACAUGACGCUGGAGGAGUUCAAGGAGUGGCUGAAGCAGUUCGACGCCGACGGCGACGGCAAGAUCAGCCGGAACGAGCUCCGGGAGGCCCUCCGCCGCCGCGGCGGGUGGUUCACCACCUGGAGGAGCGGCCGAGCCCUUCGCCAGGCCGACAAGAACAACAGCGGCUUCCUGGACGACUCCGAAAUCGAGAACCUCGUCGCCUUCGCCCAGAAAGAUCUCGGCAUGAAGGUAUCCACGUGGUAGAAGGACGCAGAGUCACAGCUGCAUGAUCCUGCAUGCGUGACACCCAUGAACCUGGCUGCUUCUAUGAACUGAUGAGCCAGCACCCACACCCAGCAGUGUCCUCCUCCUUGUAUUGUGUAGCACCUAAAUUUUGAGCUCCUAUCUUUGUUUUCUCCCCUUAAUUUGUGUGGUGCUUGAUAUGCCGAUCACUUCUCCUGAAUGGUGGUAUGUGUAAACGCCACACAUGAGGCUUGUUUGUAUGUUAAGCAUGACGCAGUUGUGGCUAUGUCCAGGGGUUUGAUGCUUGUAGUGCAUAAGAAAAUGAAACUGGGUCUUUUACUCAUGCCCCCUAUUCUCUUUGGGCAUCAUGAUGUCUAUUAUUUUAGCUAAUAUGAUCCAAUAGCAAAUCAAGCUGUACGCCCCAAACUCUUUUUUUUUUGAAACCUGUACGGCACGCCCCAAACUCUGCAAGCUUCCACUUUCUUCAAAAAAUUAGCUUUGCCAGGAAAAGAAGAAAAAGAGAGAGAGAGAAUUAGCUCCGAACUUACUGCAUAUAUAUGAUUUUACAUGCCUUAAUUAAGUCUGAAGAAGGUUGACAAAAUUGUUAAUUUGUUCCCCUCUAUCACCAGCUUAGUCUUUUGAGAGACUUAUGGGUGCAUUGCAACUGAUAUAUAUAGAUGGGAAGCAUAUUGAAG
Molecule: long non-coding RNA, 1040 nt
Filed under: Setaria viridis
Lineage: Eukaryota; Viridiplantae; Streptophyta; Magnoliopsida; Poales; Poaceae
Description: long non-coding RNA (SVIR_LNC002459)
Source: RNAcentral